Molecule: long non-coding RNA, 749 nt
Filed under: Gossypium barbadense (sea-island cotton)
Lineage: Eukaryota; Viridiplantae; Streptophyta; Magnoliopsida; Malvales; Malvaceae
Description: long non-coding RNA (GBAR_LNC020609)
Source: RNAcentral
GAACACGCUUUACAAAGCAUUGUAAAAUCAUGCUCAAUUACGUUGGUUGGGCUGCCACCACAGUCACAGCUGUAGUGGGCAACAUAUUUCCCGGUACACCGUUGUACCCUCAACGCCGACAUAUUGGGUACACCUGGUUUUUCCUUGUCAACCCACGUGGCCACAACCUAUUGGUGGUAGUGGUACUGUGGCAGAGGGGCAGGCCUCUCUUGCGUUUUUUCUGACGGGAGAAGACAAAACUCACUAGAUUUUACUAUUAAAGCUUUGCCUUUUUAGCCACUUCGGUUGUCGUGUAAUUUUGUUUUUAAUUUAUAUCUUACAUGUUAAAUGUGUGACAGAAGGACAAAGAAUAGUUAAUGUUACGACAUUGUGAAUAAAAAUAUUUGGGGAUAAAUUAGAAGAUUAAGGAUGGUGCAAGUGUCAUGGCAAUAAUUAUGGUUUCAUAUUAUGUUCUACAAUGUCGUCAUGACAUCCCAUUUGAUACUGUAGAUGGAACCUGAGCUUUGAGAUGAGAAGUGUUCGAGGGUGGAUCGUAAAGGACAAACAUUAAGUAAAAGCAAUGAGUGAGUAACAUGGCGUUAAGUCAUGAGCGAACGAGAUCAAAAGAAAUGGUGAUUCCAUGCAAUGAGUUGGGACAACGAUCAACUCAUGUGUAAGGCAAGUGUGUUUGGAGAAUGCUACGGGAUGACCUUGGAGUGUCAGGUAAGAAAUGUGUCCCUAUUUCAAACAUUUUAAUGUCUUUUUUGGAC